UACAUGGGGUGCAAACGUUGCUCGGAAUUAUUGGGCGUAAAGCGCACGUAGGCGGUUUGUUAAGUCGGAUGUGAAAUCCCUCGGCUCAACUGAGGAACUGCCUUUGAAACUGUCUGGCUUGAGGCCGGGAGAGGGUAGCGGAAUUCCCAGUGUAGCGGUGAAAUGCGUAGAUAUUGGGAGGAACACCAGUGGCGAAGGCGGCUACCUGGACCGGUUCUGACGCUGAGGCGCGAAAGCGUGGGUAGCAAACAGG
RNAcentral lists this ribosomal RNA (253 nucleotides) under uncultured bacterium. RNAcentral's name for it is "partial 16S ribosomal RNA". It matches the Rfam family "Bacterial small subunit ribosomal RNA", at positions 524 to 776 of the family's 1533-position model. The record is from RNAcentral.